RNAcentral lists this unclassified non-coding RNA (350 nucleotides) under plant metagenome. Its description in RNAcentral is "partial contains 5.8S ribosomal RNA, internal transcribed spacer 2, and large subunit ribosomal RNA". The stretch from base 1 to 105 matches the Rfam family "5.8S ribosomal RNA", at positions 50 to 154 of the family's 154-position model. The record is from RNAcentral.
GAAAUGCGAUAAGUAAUGUGAAUAGCAGAAUUCAGUGAAUCAUCGAAUCUUUGAACGCAUCUUGCGCUCCUUGGUAUUCCGAGGAGCAUGCCUGUUUGAGUGUCAUGGAAUUCUCAACUCUAUUUGCUUUUGUGAAUAGAGCUUGGAUUUGGAGGUUUAUUGCUGGUACUUGUGAUCGGCUCCUCUUGAAUGCAUUAGCUCGAACCUUUGCGGAUCAGCUAUCGGUGUGAUAAUUGUCUACGCCGUUGCAGUGAAGCAUAUCAAUGGGCUCGGCUUCCAAUCGUCCUUUACUGGACAAUGACUUUGACCUUUGACCUCAAAUCAGGUAGGAUUACCCGCUGAACUUAAGC